This is a non-coding RNA of Paramormyrops kingsleyae, 3068 nucleotides long. Lineage: Eukaryota; Metazoa; Chordata; Actinopteri; Osteoglossiformes; Mormyridae. The record is from RefSeq and is a predicted model, not a curated record.
ACUAUGGCUCUAACACUGUGUGAGAAAAUGCAUAGUAUACUGCGUGUCUAUAAACCCCCCCCGACUAUGUACCCUAACUCCACCUUGUUCUCCAGGUAAAGUCAGAUCACUAAUUAAAGGGUUUAGUCUCUGACACCCAACACCUCUUAUUCCUGCUGUACAGCAGAAAAGUUUUAUUUUUCUUUUGGUGAAGAUGGAUUUCAUUGCCACACUGAGUCUCCUGAUUGUCACAGAAAUGUGAUGCCCUUCCUGAUGGCGCCACCUCUGGGCCAGUUUGGGUUCUGCUUCAGAUGGGUUAUCUAAUGAAACAUUCUGUUUUCUAUAAGGCUGGAGAUUGAGUUUUGAUUCUUAAGGCAAAUUUUUGCCAGAUCUCUUGUCGAUUAAAUCAAAUCCCACCAGAGCAUUUUUGUGUUCUGUUUCUCAGUAGGAUUCUCAUCAGACUUUUGACUGGGCUUCUCAUAUGAUUCCACAUUCGACUUCCCCUUGUGUUCAGAAUCACAAGCUUUUUGCAGAUUAAGAUGGUUUGCCUGUGGAAUUCUGUCAGUUUCCCUAAACCAGAAAACACUUUUGAAAGGUACCAUUGAAAGGUACAGAUACAUUUGUUCAAACAUUCAAACAAGCUUGGGGCUAGAAAGCAGGUCAGCCAGCAUGCUGCGGCAGUUGGGGUUGAGGGCCUUGCUGAAGGACUCAACAAUGAUAUGCUUAUUCUACUAUCAAUGGGAUCUGAACCCACAACACAAGUGCAGUUUUUCUUAAAGGGCAAGUUUCCACAAACACAGCUAGCAUGUCAACCCUUAGCUUACCGAGAAUGCACGUACUUUACAGAGCACUUUGUAUUGGCUCAGUGGGCUAAGCCCCUGUACCUGUAUUUGGAAGGUUGCUGGUUCAAGCCUGGUUUCGGCACGUCUAUGGGUCAUGGAGCACGGCCAUUAAGACCCCGGAUACCUGAGUGCAGCAGUUGUCCUAGAUGACCUGCUUGCUCUCACGAAUAACAAGAUGGGGAAGUUGAAGAGAGAAUCUCCCUGGGGGGGGUCAAUAAAGUAUCUUUUAUUAUCAAUGAUGCUGGAGCUCAAGGGCUGAGCAGUGCAUGGGCGCAGUAUCCACUAGGGGGCAGUCAUGGACUUUUUAUGGCAAUUGACAGUUGCCUCCAAAUAGUUUGUAUAAUUUAUUGAGAAAAUGAUUUGGAGGUUUUAAUGCUUCAACAUGGUCCAAGAAGACACUGUUUGCACCAUAAUUUCACCUCUGAGAUUAAUGAAGUCUGUAUCUAUUUCUGCCCCAUCUUAACUAUUUCAGGUAUACAGAACAUCCUCACAAACAACCAUUAACAUUAUUGAGAACGUAAAAUAUUUUUUCAUAGGAAUUAAUACAUGACAGUAAGAUUUUCAAGUUUAGCCGAUACUGAUGCAUUAACCAUGUAGUUUACAAGAUCUGAUGUGAAGCAUGUAAAGCGCUUUGGCUCGACUCUGAUGUGAAAGGUGCUCCUAUCAAGAAAUGUGACUCCUCUGCUGAAGUUGACUGGCGCAACGAAUCAUGAAGUCUUUUCAGUAUUAUAAUGUACAAUGACAAUGAAGUGUUUUUCACUGCAUAGUCCCAGUUUGUUUGUUUGCGGUCACAAGAUCUGAUGGCUGCUAUGAAAUAUUGAGACCCCUCUGCCCUGAUUAAGCUACAGUAAUUCCUCAUGGUGUGUGCUUGAUCUUAACCCUAACCCUAACUCUAACCCUAACCCUAACUUAACCUUACUUUUCUGUUAUUGUGUUAAAAAUGCUCCUAUGAAGUUUAAUAAAUACAUUGAAACAUAGAAAUCAUUCCCUGCUGCUUCAGUAUUACCUCCAUAGAAUCUGAUCUUCUUGCUUCAACAUACGAAGCGAAGCAAAAGGAGCAGUUAUUCAGAAGUUUGAUUGGGACGUUUUCAGACCAGUUUUCUGAAGACGAGCAGAGUGUAAGAAAAUUCUUCUACACAUGAAUACAGAAUCACUAAGCUGUUCUGAUUGUAGUCUUUAGGGUAGUGUGGUUGACUAAGGAGAACACAGUGAUGAAAUAAGCACCUUAUACUGUUCUAUAUAAACCUUAUACUGCUCUAUAUAAACAUUUUCUGCUUAUCUCCUGUCAUCUAGGAUGCCCAUGAGUUUCUCAGUUACCUGAUAUCCUGGUUAACUGACAUGAGAGUAUCAGUUCAGGCCAGGGAGAAUACAGCAAUGUACCUCUGUCCGGACGAGGCAAACCUGGCCUUUGAGAUGCUCUGUCGGAAGACCUGUACCAGGUAAACGCUGCAGGUUUCACUGGUUUUACACACCUGUCUGAAUGCCUUGCGUGCUGCUGCCACAAAGACCUAAACUAUUGAUAGACCUGCAUUAGGGAUCCAGUUCUUAUUGAAGGUCCAGAUGUUAUUGAUUCGGCAUAUUAGAAAUAUUCAGUUUCUUUGUAUCUCUUUCCUCCCUUGGUUUCCGGAAGCUGUGGAGCACAGACCUCCAGGACAAAUGAUUUAAAUAAUCUGUCCUUGGAUGUCCUUCCCCGUUGGUCUGUGCAAGACCUCCUGAAGCACUACUUCAAGGUGUCUGUGGUGCCGCACACACAGGAUCACUCACAGAUACUAUCAUCCUAUACUAGCUGGCACUGAUACUUAGAGGUGUUGUGUUGUAAUGGUCCUGGUGAAAGGCGCUCAUCACUGAGUACUGCUGUGUGCUGUUAUAGGAUAUGGAGGUGGAGUUCACAUGUGCUGCCUGCAGGGGGAGCCAGGCUGUGCUCUCGUGGGCAUUCGUCACACUGCCUUGAGUCCUGGUCCUGCACUUGAAAAGGUUCAGAAUUACGGCACAAUACCAGCUGAAGAAAGUGCAGGACCCGGUUCUCCUCUGUCGGGAGGUCACCUUGCUCCCCCACCUCAGUGAGGAGAUCUCCCAGCUGACGGUGACUCUCCAGACAGUGGAACCUCUACUGAAAGAAGCACAUCUGUCAGCUGGAGGUCUAGAUCACGGGGAUCAUCGGGGUUCAGCCGUCAGGUGCAGGAUGGGGGGAAUCGAGCCCCCAAAAACGCAGGACCUGACGGCAGAGGUACCAGAUGAUGCCCUGAG